Long non-coding RNA from Cygnus olor (mute swan), 615 nucleotides. RefSeq lists it as uncharacterized. The record is from RefSeq and is a predicted model, not a curated record. The transcript is spliced from 4 exons. Lineage: Eukaryota; Metazoa; Chordata; Aves; Anseriformes; Anatidae.
UUUAGUUGAUUUCAGUGGUUUCCAGAGUAGGUGUUAUGGGGUCAUUCAAAAGUAGUCUGAAAUUUGUCUCGUUCUGCCUCAGCUCUCAAGCUAGAUUUAACUGAGAAUGAAGAUCUCUUCUCUGAAGACUUCCUGAAUGUACAUAUGAGAGCUAGCUGCAUGCUUCUGACACCAUCACUUGAAGAGCUUGCAGUUUCUUCUGCAGGUACAAACAAGUCAGAAGUUUGUAGUUGCAGUGCCAUACCUGGAAUUCAUAAAGCAACAUCAGUGCUCAGGGUGAGGUUGAAAAGUGAUCCAGAAGAAUGUGCUGCCAGUCUGCAUUAAGAGGCUCCAGGAGUUCUCUGAAACAGUUCCCACAGUUGAUGAAAGUGAGAAACAUCCUUCAGGCAACAAUGUUGUACUAGAGAUUUCUGACAGCGUCCUUGAGCUCUAUCGCUUGAGAUGUCAGCCAUGUGUAUGCCUGUGGUGUGAGGCCUCAGAACAUCAGGACAUUGAGGCUCCUUGAAUACUUGAAAUGUGACCCUGUUAGUAAACCACUGAUCCAGUUAGUUACGUGAUAAGGGAAAAGUAUUGGUAGAAUCUAGUAAUCCAGAACUCUUUGUAGUGUUGAUCUCU